GCCAGGCAAGAGUACUGGAGUGGGGUGCCAUCGCCUUCUCCGAUUAAGUCUUUUACCAGCUGUUAACAUAAUGCGUUACCCUGACUGAUUUUUCAAAUACUGAACCAGCCUGCAUCCCUAGAGUAAACCUCAUUUGGACAUGGUGUGAAGCAGACUUUUCGUGGAGUGUAUUUUUGUCUGUUGCCCAUUGGAGAUUCCUGGUUCCAACUUCUUCAGCUCCAAGUCUGGCACCUCUGAGGCAAACAGAAAAUCCAGAGAGCUCAUUAUGUUGUUCUUUGGGUCACAAUGCCCUAGCAGGAUUUCCCAAGUGAAUCAGCGGUAAAGAAUCUGCAGGAGACAAGGAUUCGAUCCCUGGGUCUGGAGGAUCCCCUGGAGGAAGAAAUGGCAACCCACUCCACUGCUCUUGCCUGGAGAAUCCCAUGCACAGAGGAGCCUAGUGGGUUACAGUCUAUGGGGUCGCAAAGAGUGGGACAUGACUGAUAACUGAGCACACACCCUGACCCUUAAAGGGCAAGAACAAUAAACAACAUACAAUUUAUUUUAUUCCUGCACUUGUCUGAUGAACUAUUCUAGAUGCUGUAUUUGAUCCUGGCCCAGAAAGACUAACCUUUAUGCUUUUAAUUAGGAGAGAAAGAAACGUCUUCAAUUAGUUAAUGUUUAUUAAGGUUUUCAUGUAAACAAUACACUGGGCAAGUCUUCGGGACACUUCUGUCAUGGAAACCUAAGGUCAGCCAGGCUUUUUCCUUCUGUUCACCUAAUGAAAGAAACCAUCUGACUGAAGUUAUGUAAAUGGGACACACACUUAAUCACCACUGGACUUUUUCCAUACAGGAUGACCAAGUUAGCCUGCAGCUCUAUGCAAGGAUCCCAUUUCUCAUGCAGCCUGAAAUUAAGGGGCCUGGCAUUCUGACAAACCAUUAACGCCAGACAGCAGACAUGAUGACAGCCUGGACUUUAACUGCCCUCCUCAUAGUUUGGAUCUGCCCAUAGAGAACGAAGCAAGUAUGUUAUCCCACAUUGACCCUAAUUUCUUCAGUUCUUGAUAUCUAGUAGAUUCUGGUUUGCACUUAUACAGAUGCUCACAUUACAGCUGACUCAUAUUUUAGAAUUAAAACCAGAUGUCUAAAGGCAUAAAGCAAUAGCACUAAGUUGAAGCCUCUUACAAAGGAAACAUCUGAUAAUCAUUCAUUAUAACAACAGUUUGCCCUAGAAGGAGUUAAUAAAAUUAAAAAAAAACCUUCUUUAGAAUUAUUUAUUCCCACUUUUGUUCACUGUUAAAACUUCUAAGUCAUCAUAUUAUUUUCCUGAAACUUUGUAAAACACUUUUUUCAAAGACUCUAUAGAAAUGUUUCUAGAGUAGAUAUUCAAGCCUAAAAACAUACUGUGGAAAAAUCUUCCUUUUAGGAAAACCUAGGUUGUUCCUAGUAUCUGAGGCUAUUUUUAAAAACCUAAAUAGAUACCUGUGGGCUUCCUGUGUAUCCACAGGCUCUUUACCCUGCACCUGACAGAGCCAUCCAAACCAGAAACUUGCUGAGUCACAUUUAAGCUCAACUGGCAUGGUUUUCCCUAACAAAUCCUUAGUCUGCAGAAGAUUUUAAAAACAAAUGUAAGCUAUAA
This is a long non-coding RNA of Bubalus bubalis (water buffalo), 1617 nucleotides long. RefSeq lists it as uncharacterized. The record is from RefSeq and is a predicted model, not a curated record. The transcript has 4 exons. NCBI's taxonomy places the organism in Eukaryota, Metazoa, Chordata, Mammalia, Artiodactyla, Bovidae.